GGGGCUGAGGCUCAGAGAUAGAGCACUUGCCUGGCAUGCAUGAGGCACAGGCUUCGAUCUUCAGCACCA
RNAcentral lists this transfer RNA (69 nucleotides) under Ictidomys tridecemlineatus (thirteen-lined ground squirrel). RNAcentral's name for it is "Spermophilus tridecemlineatus (thirteen-lined ground squirrel) tRNA". It matches the Rfam family "tRNA". Rfam says of the family: Transfer RNA (tRNA) molecules are approximately 80 nucleotides in length. Their secondary structure includes four short double-helical elements and three loops (D, anti-codon, and T loops). The record is from Rfam by way of RNAcentral. Lineage: Eukaryota; Metazoa; Chordata; Mammalia; Rodentia; Sciuridae.